This is a non-coding RNA of Tetraodon nigroviridis (spotted green pufferfish), 65 nucleotides long. Lineage: Eukaryota; Metazoa; Chordata; Actinopteri; Tetraodontiformes; Tetraodontidae. The record is from Rfam.
GGUUCUCUGCAUAGCGCACAAGUCUUUCGCCUUUUACUAAAGACUUCCGUGCAGGGGAACAGUAA